Manis pentadactyla (Chinese pangolin) is the source of this 11082-nucleotide RNA transcript. It is a transcript of the gene named calcyphosine like, with no coding region annotated. Lineage: Eukaryota; Metazoa; Chordata; Mammalia; Pholidota; Manidae. The transcript has 7 exons. The record is from RefSeq and is a predicted model, not a curated record.
CAGUUAAUACAUAUGUCAGACUUGGUGUGCCAGGAGGCCUCUGUUGCAACUAUUCAACUUCACUGCUGCAGGGUGACAGCAGCCAGAGCACACAUAUACAAACAUGUGUGGCUGUCUCCAAUAAAAAUUUAUUUCCAAAAGUAGGUAGAGUAUCAAAUUUGGCCCAUGGGCUGUGGUUUGCUGUCCCAGGUCUAGGUCAUUUUAGGUAAUGCUUGCCAAAACUCUGGUAAACAUGGGCAGCCUGUGGUAACAGCCCAUGAAAAGGUGGAUUUUAUUUGCAUUGGAGGAAUAGAGACUGAGAACUGAGAAGUCAUUGAUGUACAACCUUUCACCUUCACCUCCAGGACUUUCCCCAGGCUCCAGCAGGGUGAUCUGGCCACUCCAUGCAUCUCCAAAAGCUGCUGGUUCCAGAUAAUGCUGUGGAAUAAGUUCCUCUGGAUGUGCUCGCUCUCUUGCUCUCUUAAAGGGAGAAGAAUUGAAGGCCCUGGGAUUUGCUCAGACAUCACCUGGAAGGGGUUGGAGUCAGAACUAGAGCCUGGGUCUUCAAACUCCCUAUUUUUCUUUCCACUGUUGUGUGUGUUCUCGAAACUGAAGUCCAGCAGUAGCAGUUCGCCUCUUGUUCCUGGACCUCUCAGGAGAUUCCCCUCUUGGAUGGCGGGGACGGCUCGCCAUGACCGGGAGAUGGCUAUCCAGGCCAAGAAAAAGCUCACCAUGGCCACGGACCCCAUUGAAAGACUCCGGCUGCAAUGUCUGGCCAGGGGCUCCGCAGGCAUCAAAGGACUUGGCAGAGCGUUUCGAAUUAUGGAUGACAAUAAUAGCCGGACCCUUGAUUUCAAAGAAUUUGUGAAAGGGUUAAAUGAUUAUGCUGUGGUCAUGGAAAAGGAAGAGGCAGAAGAGCUGUUCCAGAGGUUUGAUAAAGAUGGAAACGGGACGAUCGACUUCAAUGAGUUUCUUCUCACAUUAAGACCUCCGAUGUCCAGAGCCAGAAAAGAGGUAAUUAUGCAAGCUUUUAGAAAGUUAGACAAGACUGGAGAUGGUGUUAUAACAAUUGAAGAUCUUCGUGAGGUGUACAACGCAAAACACCAUCCAAAGUACCAAAAUGGAGAAUGGACGGAGGAACAAGUGUUCAGGAAAUUUCUGGAUAACUUUGAUUCACCCUAUGACAAAGAUGGAUUGGAUGGAACUCCAUUUUUUCAAAGGUAAAAUGUUACUUGCCCUAUCAAGGACAUGAAGUGUUGUUUGUGACUUUCUGAUGUAUCCUAGAAAGACAAUAUUAACUACAAUUAAAGAACAUUGUUUCUUAUCUUGAGUUUCAGUCUCACAUAUCUGAAUAGAUGGGCUCCUCCUGCUCCCAAGAAAGGCCUGCACCUAUUUCCCACUUCCCAUUUAGAUUGAUGUGGAAAUUUUCGAGACUUUCUCUCUUUCCUUAAGCCACCCCUUGCGGCCAUCCUCAACUUCACUUUUUCUCUUGUUUUAGAAGUAUUCCCCAGUUGUGCCACUAAAAAAGGCUCAUUGGCUGCAAUUUCCCUCCCAUUUACAGGUAUUGCUGACAGACUUCCUUGAAAUGGUUUCAAAAGAAGACUUUUUGAACUAUUACGCUGGUGUUAGUGCUUCUAUUGACACCGAUGCCUAUUUCAUUUUAAUGAUGACAAAAUCCUGGAGAUUAUAACUUUUGUCUAUUCUUUUGGAAAUAAGGGACUCAGAAUGAAUAAAUUUGAAAGAAGUCUGAUGCUACAGAUUUUGAUAAGGUGUAAACUAAAGUUUCUGAAAGAUCUGGGAUUUUAAAAGCAAUAGAUCUUCGGUCAUCUUAAUUGUAAUAAUUAAAGGUAAUUGUAAUAAUUAAAAGGAUUGUAGGAACAUCUGACUAUACAAUUUCCUGGGCUCAUUCAUUUUAAUGUUUCUCUUGGUAAAUAAAAUAAAACGUAUUUAAUUUUGAAAUUUAAUGACUUCUUUGGUUGCUAUUCAUAUUUUAAUUCAGGAUUUAUAUUCAGCAAAUCCCCACACUUGCAUGGGCAGGGGACAUAAGUGAUUCUGUGACAAAAGGUAAGUGACUCUGUGGCCUGCUGGGUUGAAGGCUGGGCUCUCAUGGGGUGGGAUCACUUACUAGAUUAGCCUACUGGGAUGAAAAGCAAUGCACAGAGCAAAGAAAGUGCCUGUUGGUGUCUUCUGGAGCUUUAGGGUUACCUGGGAGGAGGGCUUUGAAACUAUUUUAGGAAUUCAUCCUUUGAACCCACUUCUAAGCUCCUCUCCAAGGGGUCGUGAUAUCAGGUUUUCUGACCCCAAAGCUUUCCCUGUAAAAACUGCUCCAGUAACACAAAUGGCUAUAAAUUGAUUACAUACAUACUCAUAGGCCCUUCAUCUUGGAAAAGAGUUAAAACUGAGGGAGAGGAAAUAGAAGGCUAGCACUCUAUUUCUUAAACUUUAAUGGGCACAUAAAUCACUUGGGGAUCUUGUUAAUAGGCUUAUUCUGAUUCAGAAGUCUGGAGCCAGAACUGAACCACAGCCUUUCUGAAAGUCACACUAUGACGCUGAUGACUCUGGUCUUCGGGUAACACUUUGGGUGGCAAAGGGCCAGGAGAUACCAGGUUGCGUAUUUCCAGUGCAUUUGGUUUAUUACUUGCCCAUCUUUAUGGUCAUCAUAAUUGAUGGUUUUUGAUUGCUGAGCCAUCCUCUCCUUAUCUUUAAAGUCAUGAAGGUCUGAAGGAAGUAUCAGAAAAAACAUCUAAGGCCUUCCAAGAAACCUUGUGUGGCCACUCAGUUGGAGAACUUCUCAUAGUCCAGGAUGAAGUCCUGCAGCCGUCCAGUCUCAGAGAUGUGAAUGUGUCAGUCCAUUGAGAGUAGCUCUAUUUCUUAAAAGAGACCAACACUGAGCAAGCUUAUAGCAACUGAUGCUAAAACUGGGAUGCUAAGCCAUUAAUCACUAUGGAGAAUGCAGUUCUCAUGUUUGCUGAGACCAGAUCAGAGAACCUUGCCUGGGUUUGAGGGUAUCAGAGAACACCAGCUUAGCUCUCAGUGCAGGAGUGCUUUUAGCAGAUAAUUCUAUAAUCUUACUCAGCCGUGCAGAGGACAGACCCAUGACAUGUUAGGGUAAUGCCAGCUGCAGUAAGAAACCCUCAAACUUACAAAAGCUCAAACAUGUAUUCUCACUCACAAAGCACUCUGUGGAUCAGCUGUUCAUGGUCAGUGAGCAGCCUUCCUCUGUAUAGUGAUCCUGGGCUGCAGGAUUCCUCCAUUUCGUGGUUGCACUGUUUCCUAGGGUUUGUAAUCCAUGCUGUCCAUGUAGAUAAAGGGAAAGGGGGUGUAGAGGAGGCUGAAGAAUUUUCUGAAAAGCUUUGGUCUGAAAGUGACACACAUCACUUCUACUUGCAUUCCAUUUGACGAUAAUUAGACAUGAUUACAUCUAAAAGUAAGGGAGGCUAGGAAGUAUAGUCCCAGAAGGGAAUCUUCUUGUCAAUGAAAAUCAAACUAAUGGCAGAUUAUAAAUUUUGGUGGACACUAGCUGUCUCUGCCACUUGAAGCUGCAGUCCCCACUGCCUUCCAUUUUCUUAUGGAGGCAUGCUUGGUCUUGGAAGCCCACAUAGAGAGAGAUAUUUGCCAGUUGGGAGGAGUGUAGAACUGAGGUCUUUCUAUCCUUAGUCAUGUUAGCAGCAAAGAAAACACCUAUGACCAUGUCAGGUAAUAUUUUUCUAAGCAGUCAACCCUAUCAUUAGGGCCUUAUGGUCGCAUUAUAGGCCUUGGGAUUCAUGCUGCACCAACACUAAGGCAGCCAGCUCAUCCCUCAUCCACCUCUGAUACAGGCCUAGGGAUUUUCCAUCCAUGUCCCAGUGGGGGUUAUCAGUGGGGAGUUUCAGCUGUCCUCGCACACAUACUGGAGGCGAGUUAUUUGUGUUGGUGGAUAAGAAAAGUUUUGCCCUAAAGGCAGAUCCUCUUGUUGGAAACCAAAUUAUAAUAAUGAGAUGAUUUGGUCAUUAGAAUCAGAACAAAGGGCAUGAAGAUUAGAAUAUUUAUAAAAUUAGGCUGACAAUUUAUUGCAUUCGUCUUGCCAGUGAGACCAUAAUAUUCCACAAUGAAUAUUGGAGGGGACUAACAAAGAUGCCCUUUCUGACCGCUCUUUCUCAAUGCCUCAUAGCUGACUACCCAUAAGAGUGACACACUCUGCACUUUAGAUAUAUUAAUUAGACAUAUCAAUAAAAUCACUCAGGGUGAUUGUCUGCCUGGGUUGAUGUCUCUUUAGGGUACCUUUAUAUACCUCUGUUCUAUCAUUGUGCAUAAAAUAUCACAAUAAUUUUAAUGUUGCUUGGAGAGCUAUGUUAUUUCAAUGUUAUCUGGAGUAUGCCUUACUAUAGCCCCAGUAAACUGACCACAGAAAUCAGAUGGUUUCUUAUUUCAUAUUAGAGAGAAAAAUUAAAUCAGAAGAGAAUGAUCUUAUCUGGAGAUGAUUCAUCAGAAUAAUUAAUCAACAUUGUUUAAUAAAUCACAUGAAGGAGAUUUAAGGGAUUGCAAGUGUUACAAACUGACAAUUAAAGUUAAAUAUUAUUAUAGAAGGAAAUUAUAGGAAAAAUUUUAGAAUCAGGUAGAAUUAAAAACCAGAAUAUCAUUUAGAUAUUAGAUCUGACACGUAAUGCCAGCUACCAAAAAAAAAAAAAAAGUAGGAGAGUCUUACUUUCUUGGAUUGCAAGAGCCUAGGAAGUAGACAUUUGCCCAUGUUUCUCAUUUUCACUCGGAUGUGAGCACAUCCAAAACAACAUUCACUAUUCCUUUCCCCUUCUUCCAUCAGUCCCACCCCUCUUCUACCUACACCAAGCAUGUUUCUAGGCCUUAGUAUCUGAGCACUAUGUCUCCAACUGCCUGAGCCAGAAAUCCAAGGAUCUUUGUUCCUUCUCUUGCCAAGAGGCAGAGUAACAUUGGCUAAGAGUACAGAUGCUGGAGCCAUCCUGCCUGGUUUAAAAUCUGACCCAGUGGUUUACCAGCUGUGUGACCUGCCUUGCAGAAUUCAGUCUCAGAAUUGUAACAUCACCUCUUCCCUAAUGACAUCUUGCUCUACAGAUUUUGGACAUGUCAGUCCUCAUAAUCAUGUGAACCAAUUUCUAAAAAUAAAACUCUCUCUCUUCCUACACACACACUAUUGGUUCUGUUUCUCUGGAGAACCCUAAUACAGAAGUGCAAGGGGCCUGAGGACCCCUGAAAUAAGAAUCAAACAUCUGAAGAAAGAGCAUUCUUGCUGGGGACUAUGUCUCUAACUUGGGGGGGCCUGCCCUAAUUCUGGGUGGUUAGUGCCAGAACUGAAUUGCCCUACACUCAUCUGGGGUUGAAACAGAGUUGAGAUAAGUCAUUAUUUGCUAAACUUGCUCAUAUUUCAAGGUCCGGUUCAGAAGUUAAACCCUUUACAAAGAUUUCGUCAAUCUUCCAGCAAGAUCAACCUAUUCUUUUAUUCUUCUAUGCCUCUUUUGUUGAGUAUGUAUGUAUCUUUAUAUUACAAUCUACUAGUUAGAUGUAUAAGGAAUAUUUAUUUUCUCUAAUAGACGUUUAGACUUGGAGCACUGCCCCAUUUAGGAUGACUGGCAGAAAAUAAAACAAAUCUUUCCUGGUUCUGUCACCUAAGGUUAUUGUAUGGUUCUUAGAUCUGGUAUUCAGGGGAGGGAGAAGGGUAUAACCCCAAUUCAUAUGGGUUAUCCCUGAGACAUCUACUGUCCCUGUUCCCAGGGUCUCUUAAAUCCACAGAAUCUUGGUAGCUUCUGUACCAUACUUGGGAAAUGACUAUUUUAAGAAGCUGUCAAUGGGGUGAAUGAGGAACUCCCUUUGGACAGAUCUAUGGAUGUCUAAGUGAGAAAUACAACAGGCAGUUGGCUAUCCAUUCAUUCAACCAACUAGGAUUUAUUGAACAAAUAUUAGGUGUUACCAGUGAGUACUAGGUGUUGGGGAUUUAGCCUUGAACAAAAGAAAUAUGGAAGUUCAGCCUAACAGACAUGAUUCUAAAGUUCAGAGUGUAGGUCUCGAUGACUAGGAAAAUCUUGAAGGUGAGGGACCAAUGAAUGUAAUGAAAAAGGCGAAGGUACAGGAGAGAUCAGAUGACUAAAGAGGCAAAGUUCUGGAGUAAGAGCGAGGGAUGGAGAAAAGGACAUUAAUGGUUGAUUUGUUCUUUCACUGUUGGAAGGGUGUCUCAUCUUUUGCCUAAGGAAAGAAUUGGUAGGGAUUUAAAGACAGGAAAUAGAGAGGAAACAUGAGUUAUGGCCCAGUUUUCUUGAAGUAAAGGUAAAAUCUGCUGGGAAUGGGAAGAGCUGACAUUCAAUGGAGGACCUGAAAUGAGAGGUGGAGACUUGGCAGUAACCAUAAAGAGCCCUAGGAGAGGGUGCUGCCAAGAACAAGUAGAGAAAAACACAAAUUUGUAUGGACACAAUUUCACAGCAUUAUGAGACUUUCACCAGGACACAUUAGCAAGAUAGGUACAGAAGCAGAGAUGCAACUUGAAGAGACAUAUCAUCUCAUCUUGUUCCAUAGCAUUCAUCACUGAAAUUUGCACACAAGAGGUGUGCUCAAUAAACUGCAGUGGAAUUCAAUAAUUAUAUAAAAUGUGGAACAAUAGGGGAUCUUAAAGUUCACUGUGAUACUGUCCAUAUCACAAGGAAGAAAUCAUAUUAUGACUAUAGAACAGCAAAAUCUCAUUUUUUGAGUAAGUCAGUGUCAAGAUUAUUCUAGAAAAAUAAACUUAAUGGAAAAAAGAGAAAGAAUAAUUCCAAGUAAGAAUUAUAAAGAAAUACAUUUAAAUUUCAUGCUUAGAAGAGAAGUGCCCCCCCCACCCAGUUAACAAUUUUUAUGAGAAAUGGCCACAUUUCUUUGGCUCUUAGAUUAAGAGAUCUACAAAUACCGGAAUCCUUCCAUCGCCCAAUCACUUUUCCCUCCCCAAAAGUUCCCAGUAUAGAUUUAGAGAAAAGCCAUUUCACUGAGUAAUGCAGAGAAGGUGGCUGUAGGCCUGCUGGUGUGUGGAUGGGACAGGGAGAGAGAGCUUCCUCAGCUGGGGGCAAUAUCUGUGUCAUCUUCCGGUGAAUGUGGCCUCAUAUCUAUCCUCAUAACUGAUUGGAGUGGGUUACAUUAAUGGCCUGACUCCACCCAUUUCUUUAUCUACCUGCUUUACUUUAUGAUUUAGAGUCCCUACACAAGACGGAGUAUAUUUCUUCCAUCCUUGAUUCUGGGUUUGGCCACAUGACCUGCUUGACCAAUAGGAGGAGGUGGAAGUAACAGGUGUGUAGGUUCAGAGCUUACGCCUCAGGAGGUCUUUGUGUUCCUGGUUGCUCUCUUGUGCCUGUGCUAUAAAAAUGAUAAGCUUGGAUAGCCUUUUUGUCUCAGGAAGAAGAUAGGAAAUCAUGGAGCAAUUGUAUUUUCAGCUGAAAGCAGAAUGAUUCAGAGGGCUUCCAUUCAGUUGCAGAUGCCUGAGCCAUCCCAGCUUAUACGAGUAGAACCACCCAGCAGAACCCAACCUAGAUCAUUCAACUCCCAUACAAUGGACAAUUUCUAAGAAUAAAUGAUGUUGUUUAUAGCCACAGAGUUUUGGUAUAGUUUGUUACUGAGCAUCAUUGUAACAAUAGCUAACAGAUAUGUUGUUCAAUCUGGUGUUUUCUCCUGGUGGGAAUGAUAGAAUCGUAGGAGAAGGAAGUAAGACAGAACUGAUCUCUGAAGUUUCCUCUUCCUAGAUGCUUUUGACAAAAUGGCAUGAACAUUUUCCUUUAUCUGCAUGUAAACCUCUACCAUGUUUCUUUUAGUGAUUUUGUUAAUAUUUCAUACUAUGGAUAUGCUAUAUUUUAUUUAGAAAAUAUGUAAUUUUUCUCUAUUAUGAGCAGUACUGUAUAGAUAUUUCUGUUCAUAUUUUUUUAGCCUUUUUGUGAUUGGUUUCUGUAGAAAACUCUUAAAAGUGAAAUUUCUGGGUAACUUAGAUUUUGCUCUGCAUUUCCAAAUUGCCCUCUUAAAAGUUUAUACCCAAAGAAAACAAAAUCCCUUAUUUGAAAAACUAUAUAUGCACCCUUAUGUUUACUACUGCAUUAUUUAUAAUAACCAAGAUAUGGAAGCAACCUAAGUGUCCAUCAAUAGAUGAAUGGAUAAAGAAGAUGUGGUGCAUAUACCCAAGGAAUAUUAUUCAGCCAUAAAAAGAAAAUUCUUCCAUGUGCAACAACAUGGAUGGACCUGAAGGGUAUUAUGCUAAGUGAAAUAAGGCAGGUGGAGAAAGAUAAACACCAUAUGAUUUCACUUAUUUGUGGAAUAUAAAUACAAAGAAAGCAGUAGACUCACAGACACUGAGAAGUGAUUGGUGGUUACCAUGGGGGAAGGGUUGGGGUGGGUGGAUGGGGAGGAUGUGGGAGAUAAAGGGGCACAAAAAUUCUCAGUCAUAAUAUAAGUUGGUCACAGGGAUGUAGUACAGCAUAGAGAAUAUAGCCAAUGAUUCUGUAAUAUCUUCCUAUAUUGGUAGUAACUGCACCAGGGGGGUGAGGAUUUAAUAGUAUGGAUAACUGUUUAGCCACUGAACUACUUGAAACCAAUAUAAGAUUAUAUAUCAAUGACACUUCAAUUUUAAAAAGUUUGUACUAAUUUAAACUCCUACCAACAGCAUAUAAGAAAGCCUAUUUUCCCAUAUUCUUCUCAGCAUAGAAGUUGAUCAGUCUUUUUAAUUUUCACAAUUUAAUAGGCAAAAAUUUAUCUCAUUACUGUAUUUGCAUUUUUUAUUCUGAAUGAGAUACAGCAUAGUUUCAUAUUUCAAAAGUCAGUUUCACAUCUUUUGUGAACUCUGAUAAUGUGCUUUGUCCAUUUUCUUUGGAUUGUUCGUUUUUUGCUUACUGACUUGUAGGAUUCUGGAUUACCACUUUGCCUGCCGUGUUUUUCUAGUUCAUUUUUAUCUUUUCUUUGUGUUGUGCAUUUUAUAAAUACAGUAAAGAAAUUGCCAAUAUUCUGAAUUGUGCAUACUCAAAUGUAUCAGUCUUUUUCUUAUAUGACUUCUGCAUUGUCUGUCUUUUAAAGAAAUGCUUGCAAUAUCCAAAAAUCAUGAAAUGAUUCACUGAUGUCUUCUAGCAUAUUUGUUUUCAUUUGAAAACUUACUUAUAUCUUUGAUCUAUGCAGGUUUAUUUUCAAAUAAGAAGUUGGUUAGUACUUUCCUCAUCUACAAAUGGCUAGUAUAUUGUUCCAAUUUCAUUUAUUAAAUAAUCUACUUUUUUUCCACUAGUUGGAAGUAAGUGAACAUAUUUAGAGUGCCUGAAUCUGGACACAUAGGUUUUCUAUUCUCGUUCAUUGAUUGUUCUUUCAAAAAUAAAAAAACAAAAAAAGAAAAUAUAAGUAAAGAUAUCUAGAAUUUUUAGGCAAAAAAAGCCUUGCAGUUUUUGGUUCUGAUAAUAACUGUCUUUUUCAUCACAUCUAAAUGUAUAAUGAAAGUAAUUAUAUUGUCUUUAAAAAGUGUUAAAAUCAUUUGUAUCUUCCCUUCUCAAUUCUUUUCUUCUCCAGAAUUGUGCAUGGUCUUCUUGAACAUGUAUUUUCCACAUGACCUUUAGAAUAACAGCAUAUAUAUAUAUAUGUAUGCAUAUGAUGUGGAAAUCUACACAUAAUGAUUGAAUUUGACUAUUUCUCAGGGGUGGGAUUGGGGAUUGAAGUACUUUGUUACAUUAUAUGUAUCUGUGUUUCUUGAAUUUGGGGGAACAAGCAUUUAUUUAGUAAUAAUAAUUCAAUAAUUAUUUAAAGAAAUAACAUGAAAAUAUUACAGUCAAAGACCUUAAUGAAUCUUUGUAUCUUUCAGAGAAUUUUUUUCACUUGAUCCCCUUGUGUUUUCCAGAUAUGCAACAUUCCAUCUGCCAAUGAUGAUCAUUUGGUUCCUCCUGUUUAAUAUUUAUGUUUUGUCCUUUGUCUCUGUCUAAUUGUAUUUCCUAGCAUUUCUAGAACAAUGUUAAAUGUGAUAACAGUGGAAUUUCUUUUGUUUUCAAUCUCUAAAUUUAAUGAAAUACUUUUAAUAUUUCACCAUUGAGUAUGACUCUGGCUUAUAUUCUAUUUUAUUAUUUUACUAAAGCUUUUUAUUUAAAAAGAACCCUAAGCAUCAUUCAAAUCUACAUUGGCAACUUCACACUUAAAUUCAUGAGGUUGUUAAUACUUAAAAAAGGGAUUUUACAACAUAUUCCUCAGUCUCAUGCUACAGCAUUUAUUUAAUUUCUAUCUAAUUAGAUGAAAUAUUCCUUAGGUUAUUAAAGUAAUAUUUCAUUGCUAUCCAUAGAUAAGUGUCUUCAGCUGAAUAUUAAAAUGUGUUCUGAUUACUUGACAUUUUUGCCUAAUGACUAAUGCAAUUUACAUUUUGUUAGCAACUAAUUUGUCAUUUAAAAAAGAAAAAAGUCCUUAGCCUCUGUAAGUUCUCUUCUUGAUGAGAAAUUUUUACCCAGAGUAGAAAGGAAUUGGCCAUUAUAAUUUACAGUUGAAGGACCUACCAGAUUAUCUCAAGUGUUUCUGCAGAAUUCACUGAAACUUUAUUUUUCAGAUCUCAGGGGAUGUGUGUGUCAUUCACUCCACAUUGGCUUGGCCAGUGUCUUGAGGAGUGAGAUGUAUUCCUCAGACCCCCAGGUUUUAUGCAUCGCACUUUGUCUCAACAGCUGCUUCAUUGCAAGCUGUAUACAAAUCCCACAGAGAUGCCACAAGCCAUUAAAGAAGUUACGUUAGAAUUCAAUGUGGAUCUAAAAUAAACUGAAUACAUGAACAAACAUAAUCACAUGCAGAUAUUCAUCAGAGAAAUGAAGCUUUGGAAAAUUCUCCCCCUACCCAUCCUGCCCUUGCUGUCCCUCCUCUUCUGUGGUUACAGUGGUUAACAGUGCAGCUGGGGAGGUAACUGUGGAUGAAGAAGGCAACUGACUCCUUGCACGUGGCUGCCCAGAUGUGCUAAUCUCUCAGGGAUGCAGUGCCUGCCUGUCUGAGCAUCCUACCCUGGCAUUCUUCUAUACUAAAUGGCGAAGAGGAAGCAUAUCAUUCACUAAUAUGUUGAUUCAUUUGUUUCACAUUUAUGAGUAGGUGCCUUCUAGAUGUUAGAUACUGUGUUCAGCAACAGACAUAAACCUCAAUGAGUCAUAGUCC